RNAcentral lists this ribosomal RNA (490 nucleotides) under uncultured bacterium. RNAcentral's name for it is "partial 16S ribosomal RNA". It matches the Rfam family "Bacterial small subunit ribosomal RNA", at positions 30 to 507 of the family's 1533-position model. The record is from RNAcentral.
AUUGAACGCUGGCGGCAGGCCUAACACAUGCAAGUCGAACGGUAACAGGAAGCAGCUUGCUGCUUUGCUGACGAGUGGCGGACGGGUGAGUAAUGUCUGGGAAACUGUCCGAUGGAGGGGGAUAACUACUGGAAACGGUAGCUAAUACCGCAUAACGUCGCAAGACCAAAGAGGGGGACCUUAGGGCCUCUUGCCAUCGGAUGUGCCCAGAUGGGAUUAGCUAGUAGGUGGGGUAACGGCUCACCUAGGCGACGAUCCCUAGCUGGUCUGAGAGGAUGACCAGCCACACUGGAACUGAGACACGGUCCAGACUCCUACGGGAGGCAGCAGUGGGGAAUAUUGCACAAUGGGCGCAAGCCUGAUGCAGCCAUGCCGCGUGUAUGAAGAAGGCCUUCGGGUUGUAAAGUACUUUCAGCGGGGAGGAAGGGAGUAAAGUUAAUACCUUUGCUCAUUGACGUUACCCGCAGAAGAAGCACCGGCUAACUCCGUG